CCUAGGCAAAAGGCUGCGUCCCAAACCGCACACGUCUGUCCUGACUAGGGUGCCAAACUAGUUUCAAGUGCACGCUGUAGCGUACUAAUCUGACUCACUAUCCUGUACGACAGAGUGCCUUUUGGGACGCGACCGGAGUUUUGAUUGAAAACUAUCAGUACGCUGAUACAGUUACUUUUGCCACCCAACAAGUCGGACAGCCAAACCCUGACAGCGAGAACCCUCAGAUUGAGCUCAGAGCCGGGCUCAGAAGACCGAACCGCCGCGGCGAGUGGACAUUUUCUUCACUGACAGCCGAAGACAUUGCGUCAGAAAACAACGAGGAAGACUGAACAGGGUCCGAAUGAAACGCUGACACCGGGCUCUUUGUGAUUCAUCAUGGAGUAGCCGACGGGCUUUACGGAAUCAGUGCAGCGGCACGUAAAGGUAACCGAGUCCAGAGCCCAGACAAAGGCGUCAGACAAACAGGAUAAACAGACGCGUUGAGACAUCACCUCCAUCAUUCAGGUCCUGAUCCACCGGGACUGAGCCUGUUCCCACACACCAUUCAUCAGCACCACAUUUCAAAAGAGCCUCGUAUUUAAAAUAAACCCAAAUAAUCUCAAUAAAACAACAACACUAACAACCAUCUGACCGCACCGUCUGGACUCGCAAAAACAGGUGUAAUAAAUCAAUUAUACCAAGGAAAUGAUACAUGAUGCUUCCAACUUGGCAGCAAAAGUUUAGGGAAGGCCCUUUACUACAGUGGCCUGCACAGAAUCUCAGCAGAGCUACUAAAUGACCUGGCCAAGCGUCCACACAAACACUAACGAGCGAUACUGGUCUGGGCAUCUGCACCCAACACUGACGGGUGAUGACAAGCGGCAGCAGAUUCACAAUUAUACAUUUCUUUAUUAUUAUAAAAUUGUUUAUAUUAAAGCUUUACAGGGAGAUUUAAUAAAUAUAAUAGAACACCUAUAUUUGUCAUAUACUGUAUACAUACACACGUGUUCAAGUACAACGAAAUUCUUUCUUCUCAUAUCCCAGCUUGUUUGGAAGUUGGGGUCAGAGCUCAGGAUCGGAUAUCGUACGGUGCCUCUGGAGCCGAGAGGGUUAAGGGCCUUGCUCAAGGGCCCAUCAGUGACCCAACCUUUCAACUGAUAGUCCAAAGCUCUACCUACUAGGCUACCAUUGUCCUUUAUAUGAGUGAUCUUCAAAAAGUUCCCACACUCAUAUAGUUGAUGAUGAUGUGAAAGCAGCGGCGCAUCAGUAACUACGAGCUCAACCAAACACAUUUUUGGCUGACGGCAUUAACAAGUUGGUACGGCGCUGGAAAAAUGCAUCGGAAGGCGACGAUGUAGAAAAGUGAUGGAGUUCGUUUUAGAAUUUCUAAAUAAAUAGAGUUAAAAACUCGUUUGUGUUGGAUCUCUUUUAUCCCUCAUAAAUUUUAAACAUUAAACAAUAAACCAC
Molecule: long non-coding RNA, 1449 nt
Organism: Trichomycterus rosablanca
Lineage: Eukaryota; Metazoa; Chordata; Actinopteri; Siluriformes; Trichomycteridae
Exons: 4
Source: RefSeq, a predicted model, not a curated record